Molecule: small nuclear RNA, 100 nt
Organism: Bos grunniens (domestic yak)
Lineage: Eukaryota; Metazoa; Chordata; Mammalia; Artiodactyla; Bovidae
Source: Ensembl
GUACUCUGGCAGCACACAUAUUAACACUGGAAUGAAACAAAGAUUAGUGUGGCCCCAGCACAAGGAUGACAGACAAAUUCGUGAAGCACUCCAUAUUUUA